RNAcentral lists this ribosomal RNA (253 nucleotides) under uncultured bacterium. RNAcentral describes it as "partial 16S ribosomal RNA". It matches the Rfam family "Bacterial small subunit ribosomal RNA", at positions 524 to 776 of the family's 1533-position model. The record is from RNAcentral.
UACAGGGGGGGCAAGCGUCGUUCGGAAUUACUGGGCGUAAAGGGCUCGUAGGUGGCCAACUAAGUCAGACGUGAAAUCCCUCAGCUUAACUGGGGAACUGCGUCUGAUACUGGAUGGCUUGAGUUUGGGAGAGGGAUGCGGAAUUCCAGGUGUAGCGGUGAAAUGCGCAGAUAUCAGGAGGAACACCGGUGGCGAAGGCGGCACUCUGGGCCGGUACUGACGCUGAGGAGCGAAAGCGUGGGGAGCGAACAGG